GUCAAAUGACUCUUUCCUUCUGUUACUCAGGUCUGCUGAGGAGGAGAGGAAGUCAAAUGACUCUUUCCUUCUGUUACUCAGGUCUGCUGAGGAGGAGAGGAAGUCAAAUGACUCUUUCCUUCUGUUACUCAGGUCUGCUGAGGAGGAGAGGAAGUCAAAUGACUCUUUCCUUCUGUUACUCAGGUCUGCUGAGGAGGAGAGGAAGUCAAAUGACUCUUUCCUUCUGUUACUCAGGUCUGCUGAGGAGGGGAGGAAGUCAGACGACUCUUUCCUUCUGUUACUCAGGUCUGCUGAGGAGGGGAGGAAGUCAGACGACUCUUUCCUUCUGUUACUCAGGUCUGCUGAGGAGGGGAGGAAGUCAGACGACUCUUUCCUUCUGUUACUCAGGUCUGCUGAGGAGGAGAGGAAGUCAGACGACUCUUUCCUUCUGUUACUCAGGUCUGCUGAGGAGG
Molecule: long non-coding RNA, 452 nt
Organism: Oncorhynchus keta (chum salmon)
Lineage: Eukaryota; Metazoa; Chordata; Actinopteri; Salmoniformes; Salmonidae
Exons: 3
Source: RefSeq, a predicted model, not a curated record